Molecule: small nucleolar RNA, 106 nt
Organism: Cavia porcellus (domestic guinea pig)
Lineage: Eukaryota; Metazoa; Chordata; Mammalia; Rodentia; Caviidae
Source: Rfam
GGCUUCUCGCCCAUCAGGCUUCCGGGGAUCCCAUGGCUCCUCAGCCAGCGCUAGAGAGGCACGGCCAGUGCUGCUGCGAGCUGGCAGCCUUGUUUCCUGGACAUGC